This 457-nucleotide ribosomal RNA is filed under the name uncultured bacterium. RNAcentral describes it as "bacterial SSU rRNA". It matches the Rfam family "Bacterial small subunit ribosomal RNA", at positions 29 to 508 of the family's 1533-position model. The record is from RNAcentral.
AUUGAACGCUGGCGGCAUGCCUUACACAUGCAAGUCGAACGGCACGGGAGCAAUCCUGGUGGCGAGUGGCGAACGGGUGAGUAAUACAUCGGAACGUGCCCAGUCGUGGGGGAUAACUACGCGAAAGCGUAGCUAAUACCGCAUACGAUCUACGGAUGAAAGCGGGGGAUCGCAAGACCUCGCGCGAUUGGAGCGGCCGAUGGCAGAUUAGGUAGUUGGUGGGGUAAAGGCUCACCAAGCCGACGAUCUGUAGCUGGUCUGAGAGGACGAUCAGCCACACUGGGACUGAGACACGGCCCAGACUCCUACGGGAGGCAGCAGUGGGGAAUCUUGCGCAAUGGGCGAAAGCCUGACGCAGCAACGCCGCGUGCGGGAAGAAGGCCUUCGGGUUGUAAACCGCUUUCAGCAGGAACGAAAAUGACGGUACCUGCAGAAGAAGGUGCGGCCAACUACGUGC